This 495-nucleotide ribosomal RNA is filed under the name uncultured bacterium. RNAcentral describes it as "partial 16S ribosomal RNA". It matches the Rfam family "Bacterial small subunit ribosomal RNA", at positions 28 to 507 of the family's 1533-position model. The record is from RNAcentral.
GACGAACGCUGGCGGCGUGCCUAAUACAUGCAAGUAGAACGCUGAGGGAGGAGCUUGCUCUUCUGGAUGAGUUGCGAACGGGUGAGUAACGCGUAGGUAACCUGCCUGGUAGCGGGGGAUAACUAUUGGAAACGAUAGCUAAUACCGCAUAACAGUAGAUGUUGCAUGACAUUUACUUAAAAGGUGCAAUUUCAUCACUACCAGAUGGACCUGCGUUGUAUUAUCUAGUUGGUGGGGUAACGGCUCACCAAGGCGACGAUACAUAGCCGACCUGAGAGGGUGAUCGGCCACACUGGGACUGAGACACGGCCCAGACUCCUACGGGAGGCAGCAGUAGGGAAUCUUCGGGAAUGGACGGAAGUCUGACCGAGCAACGCCGCGUGAGUGAAGAAGGUUUUCGGAUCGUAAAGCUCUGUUGUAAGGGAAGAACGAGUGUGAGAGUGGAAAGUUCACACUGUGACGGUAUCUUACCAGAAAGGGACGGCUAACUACGUG